GACGAACGCUGGCGGCGUGCUUCAUACAUGCAAGUCGAACGAGAAGCUGACUUCGGUCAGUGGAAAGUGGCGGACGGGUGAGUAAUAUGUAGGAAAUCUGCCUUUAGGAGGGGGACAACAGAGGGAAACUUCUGCUAAUACCCCAUAUGAGCGUAGCUGAAAUGCUAUUCUUGAAAACUCCGGUGCCUAAAGAUGAGCCUGCAUCUGAUUAGCUAGUUGGUAGUGUAAUGGACUACCAAGGCGACGAUCAGUAGCUGGUUUGAGAGGAUGAUCAGCCACAAUGGGACUGAGACACGGCCCAUACUCCUACGGGAGGCAGCAGUAGGGAAUUUUGCGCAAGGGGCGAAAGCCGGACGCAGCAACGCCGCGUGAACGAUUAAGCCCUUCGGGGUGUAAAGUUCUGUCAGUGGGGACGAAACUUGACGGUACCCACAGAGGAAGCACCGGCUAACUCCGUG
This 458-nucleotide ribosomal RNA is filed under the name uncultured bacterium. Its description in RNAcentral is "partial 16S ribosomal RNA". It matches the Rfam family "Bacterial small subunit ribosomal RNA", at positions 28 to 507 of the family's 1533-position model. The record is from RNAcentral.